RNAcentral lists this ribosomal RNA (585 nucleotides) under Microbacterium sp. Its description in RNAcentral is "bacterial SSU rRNA". It matches the Rfam family "Bacterial small subunit ribosomal RNA", at positions 281 to 876 of the family's 1533-position model. Lineage: Bacteria; Bacillati; Actinomycetota; Actinomycetes; Micrococcales; Microbacteriaceae. The record is from RNAcentral.
GGGUAGCCGGCCUGAGAGGGUGACCGGCCACACUGGGACUGAGACACGGCCCAGACUCCUACGGGAGGCAGCAGUGGGGAAUAUUGCACAAUGGGCGGAAGCCUGAUGCAGCAACGCCGCGUGAGGGAUGACGGCCUUCGGGUUGUAAACCUCUUUUAGCAGGGAAGAAGCGAAAGUGACGGUACCUGCAGAAAAAGCGCCGGCUAACUACGUGCCAGCAGCCGCGGUAAUACGUAGGGCGCAAGCGUUAUCCGGAAUUAUUGGGCGUAAAGAGCUCGUAGGCGGUUUGUCGCGUCUGCUGUGAAAUCCCGAGGCUCAACCUCGGGCCUGCAGUGGGUACGGGCAGACUAGAGUGCGGUAGGGGAGAUUGGAAUUCCUGGUGUAGCGGUGGAAUGCGCAGAUAUCAGGAGGAACACCGAUGGCGAAGGCAGAUCUCUGGGCCGUAACUGACGCUGAGGAGCGAAAGGGUGGGGAGCAAACAGGCUUAGAUACCCUGGUAGUCCACCCCGUAAACGUUGGGAACUAGUUGUGGGGACCAUUCCACGGUUUCCGUGACGCAGCUAACGCAUUAAGUUCCCCGCCUGG